CAACGCUGGCUCUUGGCUGUGACAUGGCGUUGUAGAGGCUUCCUAUCGGUGGUUGGUGGUGAAAAAUUCUAGUCAUCUCGAUAUACCAAAAUCUUGAUGCUAGUUGGAAGUAUGACCACUAGAUGACUGGUAUAAAAUGCCACAAUACUUCUAAGGCACAAAUUAUAAAAUGGAAAAUUAAUAAAAACUAAAUACGAUAACGUUUAUUUCUCACGAAGAAGAACUUACAAAACAUUUAAUUUGGGGUUUCUGGUUGAGUUGCAAAAAUAAGUUCGGACACCUGGAGUACCAUACGACGUGAAAUGUGGAAGAUCUUCAAACAAAUUUCUGUCUUAAAAUAUGAUUUUGUUCACGCUAUUGGCUGAAACGCUGCAGAAUCGGACAUGUCGGAUUCUGCGGCGUUUCAUCAUUAAUUGCGUCAGCAAAUCAGUUAUGAAAUAUAAGUUUUAAGUAUACGUUUUUCGAUCGCUGCGAGAUCUUUUUUUGCUAUACGUAGGACUUGUGGGAUAUACUCUGUAUGAAGGACUAUUACAGAUUUCCCAUCAGAGGUUUAAAACCUCCUCCGAUAGAUUCUUGGGGCAUUGCGUAGGCCGAAUAGCAUCCUAGCAUAUUCACAGUGAACUGAUUCUGCAGUAAAUACAACUUCGUAAAUAUCUUCUUCAGCGAUCUCCGUCUGCCAGUACCCACCAAACACAUCGAUUGUUGAAAACUUUUUCGCUCCGUGUAACAAGUUUAGUGUGUUUUUUCUUCUUGGCAGACGGUAGUGAUCCUUUACCGUUACAGCAUUCAAAUCUCUGUAAUCAACACAAAUCUCAGAUCACUAUAUUUCUUAUUUACUAUAUCGAUGAGGUUCUAAAACCACAGUGGCUUUCUCUUAUUUUAUUAUAUUUCAGCAUCUCUUCAAUCUGCUGGCCGGCUAAUAGAUUUAAUUGCCGUUGGUAUCCUUUAGACCCCUCUCAACUUUGGAGUGCCAGUAGUUUCUAUCCCACGUUUUAGUACAACCAAUUAUAUUAACUUAGAUGCAAAUACCAUUUCUUGUUCUAUAAUACUUUCUAUAGUUCUACUCUAUCCGCUCCUUUUAGGUAGGGUAGUUCAAAUCUGAUUGU
This is a long non-coding RNA of Daphnia carinata, 1106 nucleotides long. RefSeq lists it as uncharacterized. The transcript has 3 exons. Lineage: Eukaryota; Metazoa; Arthropoda; Branchiopoda; Diplostraca; Daphniidae. The record is from RefSeq and is a predicted model, not a curated record.